This 67-nucleotide transfer RNA is filed under the name Glyptotermes pubescens. Its description in RNAcentral is "tRNA-Trp". The record is from RNAcentral. Lineage: Eukaryota; Metazoa; Arthropoda; Insecta; Blattodea; Kalotermitidae.
AAGGCUUUAAGUUAAGUAAACUAAUAACCUUCAAAGCUAUCAAUAAAGAAGACAUCUUUAGGCCUUA